RNAcentral lists this transfer RNA (72 nucleotides) under Shewanella algae. It matches the Rfam family "tRNA". From Rfam's summary of the family: Transfer RNA (tRNA) molecules are approximately 80 nucleotides in length. Their secondary structure includes four short double-helical elements and three loops (D, anti-codon, and T loops). Lineage: Bacteria; Pseudomonadati; Pseudomonadota; Gammaproteobacteria; Alteromonadales; Shewanellaceae. RNAcentral also lists the same sequence under 2 other names. The record is from Rfam by way of RNAcentral.
UGGGGUAUCGCCAAGCGGUAAGGCACCGGGUUUUGAUCCCGGCAUUCCCAGGUUCGAAUCCUGGUACCCCAG